CCUACGGGAGGCAGCAGUGGGGAAUAUUGGACAAUGGGCGAAAGCCUGAUCCAGCAAUGCCGCGUGAGUGAUGAAGGCCUUAGGGUUGUAAAGCUCUUUUACCAGGGAUGAUAAUGACAGUACCUGGAGAAUAAGCUCCGGCUAACUCCGUGCCAGCAGCCGCGGUAAUACGGAGGGAGCUAGCGUUGUUCGGAAUUACUGGGCGUAAAGCGUGCGUAGGCGGUUAUUCAAGUCAGAGGUGAAAGCCCGGGGCUCAACCCCGGAACGGCCUUUGAAACUAGAUAACUAGAAUCUUGGAGAGGUUAGUGGAAUUCCGAGUGUAGAGGUGAAAUUCGUAGAUAUUCGGAAGAACACCAGUGGCGAAGGCGACUAACUGGACAAGCAUUGACGCUGAGGUACGAAAGCGUGGGGAGCAAACAGGAUUAGAUACCCUGGUAGUCCACGCCGUAAACGAUGAUAACUAGCUGUCCGGGCACUUGGUGCUUGGGUGGCGCNGCUACGACAUAAGUUAUUACGUCCGUCGGGUAGGUACGGUCGGUCGAGAUAAACUAACUAACUAGUAAUUAGUACGGCGUGAGACGCGACGACGACGACGACGAGGAGGAGG
RNAcentral lists this ribosomal RNA (607 nucleotides) under uncultured bacterium. RNAcentral describes it as "bacterial SSU rRNA". The stretch from base 1 to 518 matches the Rfam family "Bacterial small subunit ribosomal RNA", at positions 338 to 873 of the family's 1533-position model. The record is from RNAcentral.